GGUCGGAUGGCGCAAUGGUAGCGCGUUACUUUCCGGUUUGGCGCAGACAAUCCCCGCACAUUCAAUUGUGCAAUGUCUGUGUUCUCCUGCUGGUAAAGGUUCUGGGUUCGAGUCCCAGUCUGAUCG
Molecule: transfer RNA, 126 nt
Filed under: Thermochaetoides thermophila DSM 1495
Lineage: Eukaryota; Fungi; Ascomycota; Sordariomycetes; Sordariales; Chaetomiaceae
Description: Chaetomium thermophilum var. thermophilum DSM 1495 tRNA
Rfam family: tRNA
About the family: Transfer RNA (tRNA) molecules are approximately 80 nucleotides in length.
Source: Rfam by way of RNAcentral